Molecule: long non-coding RNA, 390 nt
Organism: Callithrix jacchus (white-tufted-ear marmoset)
Lineage: Eukaryota; Metazoa; Chordata; Mammalia; Primates; Cebidae
Source: RefSeq, a predicted model, not a curated record
UAUCCUGUAGAACAGAAAUCUGGCUGACCUCAUGGGGACUGUACUGAGAGUCUGAAAAGUUGCUCAAGAGAAACAGGUAUGCAUACUUGGAGUCAAGCCCGUUGAAUUCUUUGGUUUCUACAUUGGAUAAGCACGGGGGAGUCUCAGCUGGAGUUGAAACUCUGCUCACUACUAGACAUUCUGGGUGACUGGUGGUGUGUGCUACCAGAGUCCAUUGUAUCAGAAGAUAGAAGACCUUCCUGGAAGAUCAUUAAGGAAUCAUCUGAGAUACAAGCUCACCUUGGGAAAAGAGCCAUCAGGGCAUAUGGUUAAAAAAAGAGAAUCAAGAAUGAUAUCCAAGUUGUAGUUCAAGCAUCUCAACAUAAAUGAUGCCAUCUAAGAGGAGGAGCC